Oncorhynchus keta (chum salmon) is the source of this 1775-nucleotide long non-coding RNA. RefSeq lists it as uncharacterized. Lineage: Eukaryota; Metazoa; Chordata; Actinopteri; Salmoniformes; Salmonidae. The transcript is spliced from 7 exons. The record is from RefSeq and is a predicted model, not a curated record.
GUACUGUAAGAAGUGCCUUAUGGUUCAAGUGCUGAAUUGACACACCCAGGAUCCUGUUCCUUGAACUGUGAUGACAGUUUCAACUAGCUGCUCACAGGUCAAUUAUAAGUAUGACUUGUAUUCCAAAGACACUUCUGAAGGUGAGGAGUAUUGAGGGAAUAUUGCAUAGUAAUACUCUUGUAAGACAAGUAGAGGCUCUGAUCCAGAGAGCCACAAAAUAUAUAUUUGAUAUAUUCUGAUAUGCAGAUUUUUUAUUAGGGUGCUAAACUUGGGGCAAAGAUUGGGGAAGUUGUGCAGUGGUACUCGGUAUGACCAGUAACCGCCCAUAUACAAAGAUCCUGCAAAAGUAACUUCUAAAGGAUGUUUAGAAAAUAACAUGCCUUGUGUCUGGGGUUUUACUGAGUAGUAGUAUGUGAUGGUAGUGAGGAACAGUACAAUCCCCAUAGCUGUGUGUUAGUAGUGUUAAUAGUAGUGAACGGACUGAAAGGGAACUUAACAUUCACAUCAUCUCCUGAGGCCUAUUGUUGCCUCUGACCCAACGUGUCUGUCUGUCUGUCAGAGGCCCCAUCAGGGGGCAGGUCACCAGGCAGAACCAGUGAGCUAGAGAGGCCCCACCAGGGGGCAGGUCACCAGGCAGAACCAGUGAGCUAGAGAGGCCCCACCAGGGGGCAGGUCACCAGGCAGAACCAGUGAGCUAGAGAGGCCCCACCAGGGGGCAAGUCACCAGGCAGAACCAGUGAGCUAGAGAGGCCCCAUCAGGGGGCAGGUCACCAGGCAGAACCAGUGAGCUAGAGAGGCCCCACCAGGGGGCAGGUCACCAGGCAGAACCAGUGAGCUAGAGAGGCCCCACCAGGGGGCAGGUCACCAGGCAGAACCAGUGAGCUAGAGAGGCCCCACCAGGGGGCAAGUCACCAGGCAGAACCAGUGAGCUAGAGAGGCCCCAUCAGGGGGCAGGACACCAGGCAGAACCAGUGAGCUAGAGAGGCCCCACCAGGGGGCAGGUCACCAGGCAGAACCAGUGAGCUAGAGAGGCCCCACCAGGGGGCAGGUCACCAGGCAGAACCAGUGAGCUAGAGAGGCCCCAUCAGGGGGCAGGUCACCAGGCAGAACCAGUGAGCUAGAGAGGCCCCACCAGGGGGCAAGUCACCAGGCAGAACCAGUGAGCUAGAGAGGCCCCACCAGGGGGCAGGUCACCAGGCAGAACCAGUGAGCUAGAGAGGCCCCAUCAGGGGGCAAGUCACCAGGCAGAACCAGUGAGCUAGAGAGGCCCCAUCAGGGGGCAGGUCACCAGGCAGAACCAGUGAGCUAGAGAGGCCCCACCAGGGGGCAGGUCACCAGGCAGAACCAGUGAGCUAGAGAGGCCCCAUCAGGGGGCAGGACACCAGGCAGAACCAGUGAGCUAGAGAGGCCCCACCAGGGGGCAGGUCACCAGGCAGAACCAGUGAGCUAGAGAGGCCCCACCAGGGGGCAGGUCACCAGGCAGAACCAGUGAGCUAGAGAGGCCCCAUCAGGGGGCAGGUCACCAGGCAGAACCAGUGAGCUAGAGAGGCCCCACCAGGGGGCAAGUCACCAGGCAGAACCAGUGAGCUAGAGAGGCCCCACCAGGGGGCAGGUCACCAGGCAGAACCAGUGAGCUAGAGAGGCCCCAUCAGGGGGCAAGUCACCAGGCAGAACCAGUGAGCUAGAGAGGCCCCACCAGGGGGCAGGUCACCAGGCAGAACCAGUGAGCUAGAGAGGCCCCAUCAGGGGGCAGGACACCAGGCAGAACCAGUGAG